UGGAGAUCAGCCCAUUUUGCUUUGCUGUUUAUCACAAAUUGUUAAUUUUUCCUUGGAUGACCUUGAAAGAAGAUGUGUGACCAUUCUAGUGACUGAAAGCCACAGAUACCGGAAGACUUUGCUGCAGAGAAGAACGUUGCCUACAGGUCUUGCAGAAUGUUGUGUUGGUGGCAUACAGCACUGGUGUGCCCUUAACUGUCCCUGUGGAUAGCGUUUGUGUUGUUUUGAAAAUAAAGUUUUGCAUCUGGCAUGGUUUUUUUUUUCC
Molecule: long non-coding RNA, 265 nt
Filed under: Anser brachyrhynchus (Pink-footed goose)
Lineage: Eukaryota; Metazoa; Chordata; Aves; Anseriformes; Anatidae
Description: lncRNA (ENSABRG00000016268.1)
Source: RNAcentral